UGGGGAAUAUUGCACAAUGGGCGAAAGCCUGAUGCAGCGACGCCGCGUGGGGGAUGACGGUCUUCGGAUUGUAAACCCCUUUCAGUAGGGACGAAGCGCAAGUGACGGUACCUGCAGAAGAAGCACCGGCCAACUACGUGCCAGCAGCCGCGGUAAUACGUAGGGUGCGAGCGUUGUCCGGAAUUACUGGGCGUAAAGAGCUCGUAGGCGGUUUGUCACGUCGUCUGUGAAAUCCUCCAGCUUAACUGGGGGCGUGCAGGCGAUACGGGCAGACUUGAGUACUACAGGGGAGACUGGAAUUCCUGGUGUAGCGGUGAAAUGCGCAGAUAUCAGGAGGAACACCGGUGGCGAAGGCGGGUCUCUGGGUAGUAACUGACGCUGAGGAGCGAAAGCAUGGGUAGCGAACA
Molecule: ribosomal RNA, 407 nt
Filed under: uncultured prokaryote
Description: bacterial SSU rRNA
Rfam family: Bacterial small subunit ribosomal RNA
Source: RNAcentral